This is a long non-coding RNA of Scleropages formosus (Asian bonytongue), 1634 nucleotides long. The record is from Ensembl. NCBI's taxonomy places the organism in Eukaryota, Metazoa, Chordata, Actinopteri, Osteoglossiformes, Osteoglossidae.
AAGUGUUAUGGUUACUGCCGAGUUGCAACCUGUUUGUCGGUUCUAGCAAAGCAUUCCCUUCUCCUGUGUUUUUAUUCAUGUCGUCAUCAGCAAUUAGUCAAUGUCGACUACUUUCACAUACAGUAACCGUCAACUAAAAAUCUGAAGUUGUGCAACACCUGGCAAAACAAAAAAUGAAAUCACCAUAUAACUUUACACUAAAUCACAUAUGUAGUAUAUACUGUAUUUAGUAUUUUCUGGUCAUCUCUAAACAUUGACUAACUGUGUAAUCUAAGAAUUCAUUUUGUAAUGUUUACAAAACCAUUUAUCCCUUUUAAGGUGACUGAAAAAACAGGGGACCAAGAUGCGCCUGCUGUCUGAAGCCAGCUCUUGGACUCAAAUGCAAAAAAGCACGUGCCUCAAUUACGGGAAGAUGGAACAGUGUGUGGAAAUCAUUUCACUUUAGCAUCAACCGUUGCGAGCUACUGCUACUUGGACUCACAGCAAACGACCAUGAACUAUUAGUGUGUCUGUAGCCAUUUAUUUGAUUCUGGAAUGGGUUACUUUUAGUCCACUGUACAUUGCUUGGGACAAAGGAAUAAAUAAUUCCACAGCUACUGUGCUGUCUCUUAAAGAGAGUCGUUUAGAGUUGAUCGAGUUGCGCUGUUUGUUCACGUAGACUUAUCGUAGUUGUGCACUGAAGAAAGUUUAGAAGCAGAGCUGUUGUUUUCCACUCCUCGUUCACCUUUUCUUUCCCUGUUGAACUCGAGGGAACAUACCUCUGUUACAAACUCUCCUGUAGCACCUCAAACAUCCCAGUUGCCUGCUCCCCCCUUCUAGAUCAGUUUCAACUACACAGUCUGAAGCGGGAGACACGUCAAUUUCAACAGCGUUCUCUGGACUGGCAGCAUCAACCCCUCCCAGCUUCACUUUGCCUGCGACCCCUGCAAAUCAAGAAUCGCGACCUCCCUUUCCACGGGGGGCCUGGCUCAUCCCGGACAUACCAGCUAACGGUAACGCAUUCUCCCAGUUCUGUCCAUCGAAUGUAAAAGACUGAGAAACAACCUCAGAAUCUGAGUGAGAAAAGGAUGACAUAGCUGUCCUUGUCAUGAGAUCGCUUUUUUGCUUGCAAGCCAACUGUGUCUUUGGGAGACUUUGCAGCCUAGUAUCUUGUCUCUGCAGAGGAUCUGAUUCAUCCAUGUUCCCUGGCAGUCUCACUAAGCACCCAAUGGGAAGUCGAUGAUUACGAUGAACUGUCCCAAUUUGCCCUGGAACCACACAGGUUUAAUUUGGUACACUAGCAGGUUUCCCCUUUUUCCCCACCACAGUAUAAGGUAAGAAUCUCCACUUAUUCUGCAACUAGUGCUUACCCAUGACACCAAAACUCCUCUAUAGUACACGGUCUCCUUUCUUCAGAAUCUGUUCGACUAAUUUGUCAUGUGCUCUUGUUCCAUCCAUGACUCUUCUCAGCACCUUCUUUAGCUAACUAAAGAAGCCCUGCUUAGGUGUCCUCUCAAUUUUGUGAGGAACCGUUGAUACUGCACUUCCUCACCCCAAAACACAGAUCUAUAGACAGACGAGCUUCCCUGUCAGACAUCAGCAAAACAAGGGGAGUAGCCAGUCGCCUCAUUUCACAUGCAGUUAUAGGCAUGUAC